GUGAGUCAUCGAGUCUUUGAACGCACCUUGCGCUCUCUGGUAUUCCGGAGAGCAUGCCUGUUUGAGUGUCAUGAACUCUUCAACCCACCAGUUUCUUGUUAAGCUGAGUUGGUGUUUGGAUCUUGAAUGCUGCUAUUAAGUUAGCUCAUUCGUAAUAUAUUAGCAUCUCAAUUUCAUAAUCGGAUUGACUUCAGCGUAAUAGAUCUAUUCGCUGAGGACACUUGUUAAGAGUGGCCGAAAAUGAAGAGUGGAAGCUUCAAAUCCUUCUAGUCAACCUUAGAUUAUGACCUCAGAAUCAGGCAGGAUUACCCGCUGAACUUUAAGCAUAUCAAUAAGCGGAGG
This 342-nucleotide ribosomal RNA is filed under the name uncultured fungus. RNAcentral's name for it is "eukaryotic LSU rRNA". The stretch from base 1 to 71 matches the Rfam family "5.8S ribosomal RNA", at positions 84 to 154 of the family's 154-position model. Lineage: Eukaryota; Fungi. The record is from RNAcentral.